UACGGAGGAUCCGAGCGUUAUCCGGAUUUAUUGGGUUUAAAGGGUGCGCAGGCGGGAGAUUAAGUCGGCGGUGAAAUUUUGCAGCUCAACUGUAAAAGUGCCUUCGAAACUGGUUUCCUUGAGUGUAGAUGAAGUAGGCGGAAUUUGUGGUGUAGCGGUGAAAUGCAUAGAUAUCACGAGGAACUCCGAUUGCGAAGGCAGCUUACUAAGCUACUACUGACGCUCAGGCACGAAGGCGUGGGGAUCAAACAGGAUUAGAUAUCCCGGUAGU
RNAcentral lists this ribosomal RNA (271 nucleotides) under uncultured prokaryote. RNAcentral's name for it is "partial 16S ribosomal RNA". It matches the Rfam family "Bacterial small subunit ribosomal RNA", at positions 524 to 794 of the family's 1533-position model. The record is from RNAcentral.